GGUGGUAGAAGGAAGAGUACUUUCCUAGGGUCAUGAUGAAGUCCAGUGGAGUGUGUUGGGGUAAGAAACAAUGAAAUGGCUGCCCUGGGUGCCCUCCUUCAGUGGAAGAUCUGGGAGGAGAAAUGACUUAACAACUUAACUUUCAGAUCCUGAAUGCAGUACUAGCUGAAUAUGUACUCUGCUCAGAUGAGAACAAGGAUUUUCUUGGAAGAGCUGGCUUAUUGUUUGAUUCAGACAAAGAGUGCCUUAUCUGGAAAUGACCAGAACAUCAUUGGAAGUGAAUUUGGAUCUUAUUCGCUUUCAGAGAGAAUGUUUCUAGAAUAA
This 324-nucleotide long non-coding RNA is filed under the name Vombatus ursinus (common wombat). RNAcentral describes it as "lncRNA (ENSVURG00010005417.1)". Lineage: Eukaryota; Metazoa; Chordata; Mammalia; Diprotodontia; Vombatidae. The record is from RNAcentral.